GGGGAAUUUUGGACAAUGGGCGCAAGCCUGAUCCAGCAAUGCCGCGUGCAGGAAGAAGGCCUUCGGGUUGUAAACUGCUUUUGUACGGAGCGAAAAGGCUCCCUCUAAUACAGGGGGUCCAUGACGGUACCGUAAGAAUAAGCACCGGCUAACUACGUGCCAGCAGCCGCGGUAAUACGUAGGGUGCGAGCGUUAAUCGGAAUUACUGGGCGUAAAGCGUGCGCAGGCGGUUUUGUAAGACAGGCGUGAAAUCCCCGGGCUCAACCUGGGAAUGGCGCUUGUGACUGCAAGGCUGGAGUGCGGCAGAGGGGGAUGGAAUUCCGCGUGUAGCAGUGAAAUGCGUAGAUAUGCGGAGGAACACCGAUGGCGAAGGCAAUCCCCUGGGCCUGCACUGACGCUCAUGCACGAAAGCGUGGGGAGCAAAC
RNAcentral lists this ribosomal RNA (425 nucleotides) under uncultured bacterium. RNAcentral describes it as "bacterial SSU rRNA". It matches the Rfam family "Bacterial small subunit ribosomal RNA", at positions 356 to 773 of the family's 1533-position model. The record is from RNAcentral.